GUCCUUCGGGACCUUGAGAGCGGCGCACGGGUGCGGAACACGUGUGCAACCUGCCUUUAUCUGGGGGAUAGCCUUUCGAAAGGAAGAUUAAUACCCCAUAAUAUAUCAGAUGGCAUCAUUUGAUAUUGAAAACUCCGGUGGAUAGAGAUGGGCACGCGCAAGAUUAGAUAGUUGGUAGGGUAACGGCCUACCAAGUCGAUGAUCUUUAGGGGGCCUGAGAGGGUGAUCCCCCACACUGGUACUGAGACACGGACCAGACUCCUACGGGAGGCAGCAGUGAGGAAUAUUGGACAAUGGGUGAGAGCCUGAUCCAGCCAUCCCGCGUGAAGGACGACGGCCCUAUGGGUUGUAAACUUCUUUUGUACAGGGAUAAACCUUUCCACGUGUGGAAAGCUGAAGGUACUGUACGAAUAAGCACCGGCUAACUCCGUGCCAGCAGCCGCGGUAAUACGGAGGGUGCAAGCGUUAUCCGGAUAUAUUGGGUUUAAAGGGUCCGUAGGCGGGCCUGUAAGUCAGUGGUGAAAUCUCAUAGCUCAACUAUGAAACUGCCAUUGAUACUGCAGGCCUUGAGUAGAUUUGAAGUGGCUGGAAUAAGUAGUGUAGCGGUGAAAUGCAUAGAUAUUACUUAGAACACCAAUUGCGAAGGCAG
This 649-nucleotide ribosomal RNA is filed under the name Chryseobacterium sp. Its description in RNAcentral is "bacterial SSU rRNA". It matches the Rfam family "Bacterial small subunit ribosomal RNA", at positions 75 to 724 of the family's 1533-position model. The record is from RNAcentral. Lineage: Bacteria; Pseudomonadati; Bacteroidota; Flavobacteriia; Flavobacteriales; Weeksellaceae.